This 327-nucleotide ribosomal RNA is filed under the name uncultured eukaryote. RNAcentral's name for it is "partial 18S ribosomal RNA". It matches the Rfam family "Eukaryotic small subunit ribosomal RNA", at positions 1470 to 1796 of the family's 1831-position model. The record is from RNAcentral.
CCCUUAGAUGUUCUGGGCCGCACACGCGCUACACUGAAGGAGGCAGCGUGUACUCCUGGAUCGAAAGAUUUGGGUAACCCGCGAAUCUCCUUCGUGCUAGGGAUUGAGGUUUGCAAUUAUCCUUCAUGAACGAGGAAUUCCCAGUAAGUGCGAGUCGUAAGCUUGCGCUGACUACGUCCCUGCCCUUUGUACACACCGCCCGUCGCUACUACCGAUUGAAUGAUUUAGUGAGGACUUCGGACUGGGACCGAUGCGGCUUUCGGGCUGCGUCGGUAUUCUGGAAAGAUGUCCAAACUGUAUCAUUUAGAGGAAGUAAAAGUCGUAACA